CACGUAGGGUGCGAGCGUUGUCCGGAAUUAUUGGGCGUAAAGGGCGCGUAGGCGGCUCGAUAAGUCAAAGGUGAAAUCCCUCGGCUCAACUGAGGAACUGCCUUUGAAACUGUCGGGCUUGAGACCGGGAGGGGGUGGCGGAAUUCCCAGUGUAGCGGUGAAAUGCGUAGAUAUUGGGAGGAACACCAGUGGCGAAGGCGGCCACCUGGACCGGUUCUGACGCUGAUGCGCGAAAGCGUGGGUAGCAAACAGG
RNAcentral lists this ribosomal RNA (253 nucleotides) under uncultured bacterium. Its description in RNAcentral is "partial 16S ribosomal RNA". It matches the Rfam family "Bacterial small subunit ribosomal RNA", at positions 524 to 776 of the family's 1533-position model. The record is from RNAcentral.